GCGUUGUUAGACACGCGAGUCUGAAGCGUCCCACGCAGCCUCUGAUCUAAUUCUACUGACGGUAUAAUCACCUUUGGUCCCGCAAAGCCAGCGAACCCAGGCUGACCGGGUUCACAGUCGCACUCUGUCGGCCCCUCCUGCCCGAGCGCUGCGUCAUCACCAGACUCCUCCGAGGAGUCCGGUCCUGCUGGAGGAUACUUGUACGGGACCUGAAACACAACACUAUUGCAUCAUGGGAAGUGUGAACACACACUGUGUGUUAUGCACCUCUUUCUCUCUCACUGACUUGAUAUUUACUGCGCACCUUAAAAGCCCUUCAUGGUUUCAUGUUAGACGUGUCACCGUGGUAUUCCAUGUAUGCAGCUUCACUGAGCCGGUGCCGUUUGAAUAACACACUUCAGGCCGUUCUUGUAAAACAUUAUUAUAUGCACAAACCUUGAAUCCACCAGAUAAUCAAGUGAUAACAGCUGUUUGUACUUUGUGUAAAGAACUCCCACAGCUCCCACAGACCUGCAUGGUCUCUGUGUCCUCCUUGGCGUAGUGGGACUCGGCCGUGGUGGCGUAGGGGAAGGCGUCCGCGGUGAUCAUGGUGACCUGGGUGGGUUCAAGGCCGUAGGGGUCGUAUUCCCUCUCCCCGGACCUCGCGUCCUCGUCGUAGCUGUGAGUCGGCUCCGGUGGAUACUCUGAUGGCACAGAGGAGACUGUUAAACGCACAAUGAGUAAUGUUCUGCCACGAGGAGUCUUAUCCACAGUCUCUCCGCAUGAGGGGAUACAACGGCAUUAUGGACCUCUCCCACCUGAGUGGUGUCCAGAAUAUUCCUCCUGGCAGAGAGACGAGACGACACACAUGAAGACGAGCAGCGCCGAGAGGAGAGACGCCUGCAGGGAAACACCUUCAUCAAAUAUCUGAAAACAAUCUGUGUGAAGACAACACGGCAGGAGUUACCCCCCCCCCCCCCCCACAGUAACACAAUGGAGAUGAAGUUAAGUCCUGACUAACUCCACAAUGAUGUCAUCGUGUUCAGCUGAUGAUCUAAGAGUUAGAGUUAGUUUCUUCUUUACUUUAAUGUAUUUAUAUAUAUGUAUAUCUUUUGAUUUAUUAUGAUGUAUAUAUAUUUGUAUUCUGUGUUCGUCACUAUAUACUCUUAUUGUUCUUAUUUAGUUGGAGAAUGUAAAAUAUGACUGGAACAUCGCACUUGAUAAAAGAAAAACAUAAAAACUAAAUAAAAUAAAAGCUUAUGGAGAGAAAUAGAAAAGAAUAAAAUGUAUUACCUAUUGUCAUAUUCAAUAUUUCUUUAUUAUUUAUUGAGUCAUGUAUUUAAUAUAUGUGCAGCUGCCGUGCUACAUAUUUAUAAUAUGUAAAUGAAACAUAAUACACAUGAAAU
RNAcentral lists this long non-coding RNA (1385 nucleotides) under Cottoperca gobio. Its description in RNAcentral is "lncRNA (ENSCGOG00000001654.1)". The record is from RNAcentral. Lineage: Eukaryota; Metazoa; Chordata; Actinopteri; Perciformes; Bovichtidae.